This 842-nucleotide unclassified non-coding RNA is filed under the name Hevea brasiliensis (rubber tree). Lineage: Eukaryota; Viridiplantae; Streptophyta; Magnoliopsida; Malpighiales; Euphorbiaceae. The record is from RNAcentral.
CACGCAAGUACUUCUCUCACAUUUUCUCUCUGAGGCCCAUGUUUUUUCUCUCUCCAAGACAAUUCCCCAGUCUCAAACUCUCAAUAACGAAAGCACAAAAAUUUCUCAUAAGCCAAUCCAAGAAAAGAAAAAAUCAUUAAGCAACUAAAACAUGGCUCUACUUGUCUCUGCCUCUUGCAUGCCCAAAUCUUUACUAUCACCAACAUCACUAAAACAAAUCUCCCUCAAAGCCCCAGGCCCUUUGUUUACUAGUGAAAAACUGCCAACGAGAUCUCUGAACUUCUCUCCCCUUAAAGUGGCAGCACCCCCAUCACCAUCUGUUGAGAAAGAAGAGGAAGAAGAAGAUAAAGAAGGGGACUUUAGAAUUGAUGAUGAGAGUGGAGAAGAGAGUUCUGACUCUAAGUUCUCUUGGAGGGAUCACUGGUACCCGGUUUCCUUGGUUGAGGAUUUGGACCCUUGUUUGCCAACCCCAUUUCAGCUUCUGGAUCGAGACUUAGUUCUUUGGUUUGAUAAGGCCAGUCAAGAAUGGGUUACUUUUGAUGAUAAGUGUCCCCACAGGCUCGCUCCUUUAUCUGAAGGGCGGAUUGAUGAGAAUGGGCAUUUGCAAUGUUCAUACCAUGGAUGGUCAUUUGAUGGGUGCGGAUCUUGCACAAGUAUACCGCAGGCCUUGCCUGAGGGUCCUGAAGCUCGUGCAGUUAAGUCCCCCAGAGCUUGUGCUACCAGAUUUCCUUCAAUGGUGUCCCAAGGUCUUCUCUUUGUUUGGCCAGACGAAAAUGGAUGGGAAAGAGCUAAGGCAACCAAGCCUCCAAUGUGAUUGAUCCUUCCUUAUUUCUUGUUACCAG